This 88-nucleotide transfer RNA is filed under the name Spirochaetaceae bacterium. RNAcentral's name for it is "tRNA-Ser". It matches the Rfam family "tRNA". From Rfam's summary of the family: Transfer RNA (tRNA) molecules are approximately 80 nucleotides in length. Lineage: Bacteria; Pseudomonadati; Spirochaetota; Spirochaetia; Spirochaetales; Spirochaetaceae. The record is from RNAcentral. RNAcentral also lists the same sequence under 4 other names.
GGAGAGGUGUCCGAGAGGCCGAAGGAGUACGCUUGGAAAGCGUAUGAACCCUAACCGGGUUCCGGGGGUUCGAAUCCCCCCUUCUCCG